RNAcentral lists this ribosomal RNA (102 nucleotides) under Coriobacteriales bacterium. Lineage: Bacteria; Bacillati; Actinomycetota; Coriobacteriia; Coriobacteriales. The record is from RNAcentral.
AGCGGAGGGUACACCCGAUCCCAUUCCGAACUCGGUAGUUAAGCUCCGCAUCGCCGAACGUACUGUGGCGUCAGGCCAUGGGAGAAUAGGACGUUGUGCACA